This is a ribosomal RNA of Sinocyclocheilus anshuiensis, 119 nucleotides long. The record is from Ensembl. NCBI's taxonomy places the organism in Eukaryota, Metazoa, Chordata, Actinopteri, Cypriniformes, Cyprinidae.
CCCUGCAGGUGCAUAUCACCCUGCAGCCCAAUACUGGUUGCCCACUGAAGUUAAGCAGGGUUGAGCCUGGUCAGUACCUGGAUGGGAGACCUCCUGGGAAAACUAGGUUGCUGCUGGAA